Molecule: ribosomal RNA, 278 nt
Filed under: Pelobates cultripes (western spadefoot toad)
Lineage: Eukaryota; Metazoa; Chordata; Amphibia; Anura; Pelobatidae
Description: SSU_rRNA_microsporidia
Rfam family: Eukaryotic small subunit ribosomal RNA
Source: RNAcentral
UGCAGAGUGGGCAUGCCGCAUCACAAGGGCCACUCAGAACUGGCUCAACUCCCAUCAAGCCACGUUCCUGGAGAACACCCAGCUCAUCAUGCUAGACGACACAUUCGUAUGUCAUCCAUAUCAACUUUGGAUGCCAUUUACUGCGUCCACCAUGGUGACCACGGGUAACGUGGAAUUAGGGUUCGAUUCCGGAGAGGGAGCCUGAGAAACGGCUACCACAUGCAAGGAAGGCAGCAGGCGCGCAAAUGAUCCACUCCCGACACGGGAAGGUAGUGACG